RNAcentral lists this ribosomal RNA (253 nucleotides) under uncultured Eubacteriales bacterium. Its description in RNAcentral is "uncultured Clostridiales bacterium partial 16S ribosomal RNA". It matches the Rfam family "Bacterial small subunit ribosomal RNA", at positions 524 to 776 of the family's 1533-position model. Lineage: Bacteria; Bacillati; Bacillota; Clostridia; Eubacteriales. The record is from RNAcentral.
UACGUAGGGGGCAAGCGUUAUCCGGAUUUACUGGGUGUAAAGGGAGCGUAGACGGCAGCGCAAGUCUGGAGUGAAAUCCCAUGGCUUAACCAUGGAACUGCUUUGGAAACUGUGCAGCUGGAGUGCAGGAGAGGUAAGCGGAAUUCCUAGUGUAGCGGUGAAAUGCGUAGAUAUUAGGAGGAACACCAGUGGCGAAGGCGGCUUACCAAGCUACUUCUGACGUUGAGGCACGAAAGCGUGGGGAGCAAACAGG